AGGAUGAACGCUAGCGGCAGGCUUAACACAUGCAAGUCGAGGGGUAGAAGGAGCUUGCUCCUUUGAGACCGGCGCACGGGUGCGUUAACGCGUAUGCAAUCUACCUUUUGCAGAGGGAUAGCCCAGAGAAAUUUGGAUUAAUACCUCAUAGUAUAGUACUUUGGCAUCAAGGAACUAUUAAAGUCACAACGGCAAAAGAUGAGCAUGCGUCCCAUUAGCUAGUUGGUAAGGUAACGGCUUACCAAGGCUACGAUGGGUAGGGGUCCUGAGAGGGAGAUCCCCCACACUGGUACUGAGACACGGACCAGACUCCUACGGGAGGCAGCAGUGAGGAAUAUUGGACAAUGGGCGCAAGCCUGAUCCAGCCAUGCCGCGUGCAGGAAGAAGGUCCUAUGGAUUGUAAACUGCUUUUAUACAGGAAGAAACACUCCGACGUGUCGGAGCUUGACGGUACUGUAAGAAUAAGGAUCGGCUAACUCCGUG
RNAcentral lists this ribosomal RNA (483 nucleotides) under uncultured bacterium. RNAcentral describes it as "bacterial SSU rRNA". It matches the Rfam family "Bacterial small subunit ribosomal RNA", at positions 26 to 507 of the family's 1533-position model. The record is from RNAcentral.